This 68-nucleotide transfer RNA is filed under the name Hystrix indica. Its description in RNAcentral is "tRNA-Arg". It matches the Rfam family "tRNA". From Rfam's summary of the family: Transfer RNA (tRNA) molecules are approximately 80 nucleotides in length. Their secondary structure includes four short double-helical elements and three loops (D, anti-codon, and T loops). The record is from RNAcentral. Lineage: Eukaryota; Metazoa; Chordata; Mammalia; Rodentia; Hystricidae.
UGGUAAUUAGUUUAAUAUAAAACAAAUGAUUUCGACUCAUUAGAUUAUGUAGCCCUCAUAAUUACCAA